UAUGUAGCAAGCGCCUAGCCUUUAGCAAUAUAAACGGGGCUCUAACCACAGACAAACGGCAGAUUUCUAACAAUCAUAUUUCCAAUCGAUUCAUCAUUUUAUCGCAAGUGUAACACGAAAUACAGAACCGUUUAAGCUUCACAUUGUGUUUCUAGCUUGACGUUGUUUAGGCUCCACGACGUCCGCAAUGGUUAGCUCUCAUAGCCACCAUGGGCUAUCGCUAACUAGCCGCCCUGUCACCUUGGCUGUCAUCUCCAGAACUGCUCACGCUCGAGCCUCAACGUCCUUGAGACCAACUGGAAAUAUACGGGUGAGACUGGAGACUGAGGAAACGGACCAAACACAGGAGAUUAGUAGUAAGUGUCAGUCCCUCUCAGCUCCAGAUGGCUCCUGGUUCUGAGCCAGUGGGACAUGGCUUCCCUCUUCUGCUCCACUGGUGGAAGAAGACAAGCAGGAGUCAGUGUUUCAGUAAGUUCAGACCGGCGUCUCCGCGGGCGUCACACGGGCGUCGUUGAGGGUCAACCAUCCGGCGCCGUCCUCUCCAGCGACGUCACUGACGUAGUGGCCUGGGGGACACAAGACAUCCAUUACCUUACUGUCCCCCAGCGUGGGACGGGUCUAGUGUCUGACGCGUGUGUCAGCUCUCUCCCUGGCCCCUCUCACCCCAUGAACUUCCUGAAGACCUCUGUCCCUGUCUCCUGCACUGUCAAGAUGAUCCACUGCUGCUGAGAAACA
This is a long non-coding RNA of Gadus macrocephalus (Pacific cod), 735 nucleotides long. RefSeq lists it as uncharacterized. The record is from RefSeq and is a predicted model, not a curated record. NCBI's taxonomy places the organism in Eukaryota, Metazoa, Chordata, Actinopteri, Gadiformes, Gadidae. The transcript is spliced from 5 exons.